This is a long non-coding RNA of Carya illinoinensis, 448 nucleotides long. RefSeq lists it as uncharacterized. The record is from RefSeq and is a predicted model, not a curated record. Lineage: Eukaryota; Viridiplantae; Streptophyta; Magnoliopsida; Fagales; Juglandaceae. The transcript has 4 exons.
UUCCCUUUAAGAAAGAUGCCUGGAGCCAUUUCAGAGACACAGAGAUACAGAGAGAGUCGUUGACUCAUUUGUGCCUGGCUCACGUUUCGUGGAUUGCGAGGUCAUAGUUCCUCUUUUCGUCUCACCUGGACGCUGUUUCUUAGCAAUGGAUUAUGAUGAAGAGAUCAAGGGCAGUUGGACGGGCCAGGAUUGAUGUGCAACUGAGCAACAACAAAGGUGUUAACUCCUACGCUUAAUCUGUUAUCUGUGAAGCACUUAAACUACAUGAAGCAGUGUUAAAGAUUUCAGAGGAUAUAGUUUCUAAAGCUAUCACUGGUCCUUCUUGAUGAGCUUGCUGAUUUUAUUUCAAAGAAGACACAAUCCUACCUCAAUCUGGAUUCGCAAACUACUCAAUUUCGUGCAGACUCAACUACACAAAAUAAAAAAAAUAAAAAUAAAAAUAAAAAAA